GCGGUGGCUGACAGCCGGCGCCCGAGCCCCGGCCGCGGGCCUCGCGAGACACCAUGAGCUUCCCAAGCUCAGAGCACGAGUUCGAUUCUCGUCACCCGCU
This 100-nucleotide transfer RNA is filed under the name Streptomyces sp. SID5910. RNAcentral's name for it is "tRNA-Gly". The record is from RNAcentral. Lineage: Bacteria; Bacillati; Actinomycetota; Actinomycetes; Kitasatosporales; Streptomycetaceae.